CAUGGCUGUAAACUCUGAAUCUGAGUCAGCAUAAGCACACACCAUUACAGUGGGCAGCGUCACCCUCAUUUCCAGAGCAUAACAGCCCUCUCUCCGAUGCUGCAAUCGACAUCUGACCCUCAGCUGGAGCCCUAAAUGGAAUGCUAGGUUCCCCUAUGAAAAGGACCAGCAAUCCAAUCCAGAAGCUGCACAGCAUGUAAUGCGCUAGAGGGAGGGGCCCUAGGGGGUUGGUUCCCCGAAGGAACCCCUCAACCUCAAGACACCCAAGCCAUUUCACCAAAGUAGACCUCUUCUGGUGCACCAGAGAGGGCGCUACAAUGGAGAUUAGGCAAGGAGACCGCGCAUCUAGAGCGCCGAGCGAGCGCUGGGUUGCCGUGACAACCCGCGCUGCAGCCCGACAGCUCGACGGCACACGACACGCAGAGGAGCGAGAGGUUUGCUCUCGCUGAUCUCCGCGGUCUCCCAGAGUGUCGGGCAGACCCGCGGCUGUGCUUUUACACACAAGCGGCAGCUGGCCAACAACAGAGGGGACUCAAGCUUCCCGGAGAAAGAAGAGUCACGACCGGCGUGUCGACGUGAUCAUGUUCUCAUACGAAAACAUGAACCACCCACGAACAUCGUUUCAGCACGCGCCCAGACAUGUGAAACAGUGAUCGUGGCCGUCAGUGAGGACAGGAAACGACCGCAUCCAGAAACACACAAAUAGAAUGUCAUCUUUAAAAAGACGCAAGCUCUAUUUGUAAACCUCAUAAUUUUGGAACAAUAACUCAAUUAUGAUAUGUGAGUUUUGUAAAGUGUGUGUAAGAAAUAUCACUGAAGUAUCCGGUAUGUUUAAGUAAUUGAAACAUUCUUAAACACUGACAUUUUGAGGAGAGAUUCAGGCAACCUGUUCACAGUAAAUGAAGGAAGUGUUGUCAUUAUUUACAUCAAGACAUUUUUUGUAAAUUACAAUAAUUUCCUCUACAGUAGGCCUCUAUUUCUUCCAUCUUCCUUUUCCUUUUUUCCUCUCAGAUAAAAGCAGAAUUUAUGCGGAUAAAGACUGUGCCACUUCUGUCACCGUUCAUAGCAGCUGGACAGAAGUAAGUGCGAAGACAUACACAUCAAACGAGACUGUGUCAUAAAGAGUCUGUGUGUGUAUCUCAAUGGGGACAUUAUAACACUUGUCAGAGAAUUCCAGGACUGCAAUCCUGAAGGAGAUGAGGGAGGGGCUUCUGAGACCACUCUGGGCCUUUUUGUGACCCUUAAAGUGCUGAGUACUAGCCAGACGAUGUUGGAGUAGCAACAGAGGGUGUAAAACUGCUACAACACUUCAGAGUUUGUCCUUUGGAUUAAUAAUGCUGUUCGGAUUGAUCUACGCACUCAAGCUACGCUCAGAGUCUCAAAUUCACAUUUGAAUUCUUCCAGAAGGUAAUGAUGAAUUUGGACUUUAGGACAUCACAUAGAUGUUUGCAUCCCCUGGAAGGACAUUGAAAACUUUUAAACUUGUUCUGUAACGUUGAACUGAAGACAGUAUGAUCGAUGACACUAUGAACCGAUGACACUAACUCAAACUGCACCUAAUGCACCUUCUGGCUUCCUUUCUGAUACAUUUAAAGGGUUAGUUCACCAAAAAAUGAAGACUCUGUCAUUAAUUACUCACCCUCAUGUCGUUCCACACCCGUAAGACCUUCGUUCAUCUUCAGAACACAAAUUAAGAUAUUUUUGAUGAAAUCCGUGAGCUAUCUGGCCUCUGAUAGACUGCAACACAACUAUCACUUUCAAGGUCCAGAAAGGUAGUAAAGACAUUGUUAAAAUAGUCAACAUGACUGCAGUGGUUCAACCUUAAUAGUAUGAGGCGACGAGAAUACUUUUUGUGCGCAAAACAAAACAACAAAAACAAAAAAAAUGACUUAAUUCAAAAAUUUCUUCCCUUUUAUGUCAGUCUCCUACGCAGUUGAUGUUGUACACACAAAAUAUCUUAAUUUGUGUUUCGAAGAUGAACGAAGGUCUUAGGGGUUUGGAGCGACAUGAGGAUGACAGAAAUGUCAUUUUUGGGUGAAUAAACCCUUUAACAGAGAUGUUAGCCCUUGUGCUAUUCCUUGUCCAGGAAGUUAACUUGUGAGUAGCACACUUGGGCUACUGAAUGCCUAAAUGCUGAAACGUGACGGACAACAGAAUACCUGUUAUAUGUAAAGUAAAAUAUAAUCCUUCAGAUUGCUUUUCUUUUUCCCCAAGUGUCCUGAUUGUUUUAACAAAUGUUUACAAGGAAUGUAACCAUUUACAGAUCUGUAUCAAGUUUCAGAUAAGUGAAAGCACAAACUGAUUACCAUACUAUGCAGUGAGAUCCCAAUAUUACCUUGAAUAUGUGAAAAUAAUGUUUGAUGUUGAAAUUUGGUUCCUUGUUGAUCUAUGAACUUGUUGGCACACAGCCAUGACCAUUGUGUUAGUCUGGGAGAAGGCACAAAACUGCAGUAAACAGUUGCCUUAAUUUGUGAAAUACUGCAUUAUGUUCUGUUUUUUUCUGUCAGAUUGGAUGUUUCUUAUUAUUCCUGGAGCAAUUGUGACAAUAAAUGUUUAUAAAUGUAACACGUGUUUGACCAUUUAUUUAAUUUAAAUAAAGAAAUGUAAGGUAGUUAUAUAAAGCAAGUAAGAAUAAGUUAUUUGAAAAGAGUUUAUGUAUUACACAAGCUUAAAUUGCAGUUUAUCAGUUAACAUAACCUUUAUUUAAUUAAUUCAAGUCAACUGAACAUGAUGGGGAAGCUUAAGUAAAAGUUAACUUUUUUAAGUUGGAUUUAUGUGAUUAAAUUCGAUGGAAAUUUUAUAUGCAAUUGAAUUAACUUUUGGGGUUAAAUAUAUAUAUAUAUAUAUAUUUUUUUUUUUUUUUUUUUUUUACUAUAUUCUCUAUUGCAGUUUAAUAUCAUUUUACAGUCAUAUUUACCCAAUCUUUAUUAAUUGUUGAAUCGUUUGUCAUUUGAUCAUUACUUCAAGUUCACAAUCAUUACUUUCAAAUGAUCCUAAAAUAACUGAUUGAGUAAAAGUAACCUGAAUUAUCAUGAUCAUACUGAAAUAUUCGAUCUAAUAAAAAACAAAAAAACAUACUACUUCAUGUAGGUGUCUGCUGUAAAUGUCUGGUUCAAAAAUACUUUCGAUGUCG
Long non-coding RNA from Ctenopharyngodon idella (grass carp), 3133 nucleotides. RefSeq lists it as uncharacterized. The transcript is spliced from 5 exons. NCBI's taxonomy places the organism in Eukaryota, Metazoa, Chordata, Actinopteri, Cypriniformes, Xenocyprididae. The record is from RefSeq and is a predicted model, not a curated record.